Molecule: ribosomal RNA, 468 nt
Filed under: uncultured bacterium
Lineage: Bacteria
Description: partial 16S ribosomal RNA
Rfam family: Bacterial small subunit ribosomal RNA
Source: RNAcentral
GACGAACGCUGGCGGCGUGCUUAACACAUGCAAGUCGAACGGAAAGGCCCUGCUUUUGUGGGGUGCUCGAGUGGCGAACGGGUGAGUAACACGUGAGUAACCUGCCCUUGACUUUGGGAUAACUUCAGGAAACUGGGGCUAAUACCGGAUAGGAGCUCCUGCUGCAUGGUGGGGGUUGGAAAGUUUCGGCGGUUGGGGAUGGACUCGCGGCUUAUCAGCUUGUUGGUGGGGUAGUGGCUUACCAAGGCUUUGACGGGUAGCCGGCCUGAGAGGGUGACCGGCCCCAUUGGGACUGAGAUACGGCCCAGACUCCUACGGGAGGCAGAAGUGGGGAAUAUUGCACAAUGGGCGGAAGCCUGAUGCAGCCACGCCGCGUGCGGGAUGACGGCCUUCGGGUUGUAAACCGCUUUCGCCUGUGACGAAGCGUGAGUGACGGUAAUGGGUAAAGAAGCACCGGCUAACUACGUG